UACGUAGGGUGCGAGCGUUAAUCGGAUUUACUGGGCGUAAAGCGUGCGCAGGCGGCCCGUUAAGACAGGUGUGAAAUCCCUGGGCUCAACCUAGGUAUUGCGCUUGUGACUGGCGGGCUCGAGUACGGUAGAGGGGGGUGGAAUUCCUGGUGUAGCAGUGAAAUGCGUAGAGAUCAGGAGGAACACCGAUGGCGAAGGCAGCCCCCUGGGCCUGUACUGACGCUCAUGCACGAAAGCGUGGGGAGCAAACAGG
This 253-nucleotide ribosomal RNA is filed under the name uncultured microorganism. RNAcentral describes it as "partial 16S ribosomal RNA". It matches the Rfam family "Bacterial small subunit ribosomal RNA", at positions 524 to 776 of the family's 1533-position model. The record is from RNAcentral.